Bison bison bison is the source of this 122-nucleotide unclassified non-coding RNA. The record is from Ensembl. Lineage: Eukaryota; Metazoa; Chordata; Mammalia; Artiodactyla; Bovidae.
CCAGCAGCCCCCUUUUUUUCCAGACAAAGGGUUGUGAGCCUGCCUGGGGAUGAGGCCUCAUGUGGUGGAAGCUGCCCUUAGCUUCGCGGGGCUGACAGCUCUGGCCCAGGGCGGUAUGUAAG